GACGAACGCUGGCGGCGUGCUUAACACAUGCAAGUCGAACGGAAAGGCCCUGCUUUUGUGGGGUGCUCGAGUGGCGAACGGGUGAGUAACACGUGAGUAACCUGCCCUUAACUUUGGGAUAACUUCAGGAAACUGGGGCUAAUACCGGAUAGGAGCUCCUGCUGCAUGGUGGGGGUUGGAAAGUUUCGGCGGUUGGGGAUGGACUCGCGGCUUAUCAGCUUGUUGGUGGGGUAGUGGCUUACCAAGGCUUUGACGGGUAGCCGGCCUGAGAGGGUGACCGGCCACAUUGGGACUGAGAUACGGCCCAGACUCCUACGGGAGGCAGCAGUGGGGAAUAUUGCACAAUGGGCGGAAGCCUGAUGCAGCAACGCCGCGUGCGGGAUGACGGCCUUCUGGUUGUAAACCGCUUUCGCCUGUGACGAAGCGUGAGUGACGGUAAUGGGUAAAGAAGCACCGGCUAACUACGUG
RNAcentral lists this ribosomal RNA (468 nucleotides) under uncultured bacterium. RNAcentral describes it as "partial 16S ribosomal RNA". It matches the Rfam family "Bacterial small subunit ribosomal RNA", at positions 28 to 507 of the family's 1533-position model. The record is from RNAcentral.